This 440-nucleotide ribosomal RNA is filed under the name uncultured bacterium. RNAcentral describes it as "partial 16S ribosomal RNA". It matches the Rfam family "Bacterial small subunit ribosomal RNA", at positions 338 to 795 of the family's 1533-position model. The record is from RNAcentral.
CCUACGGGAGGCAGCAGUGGGGAAUAUUGCACAAUGGGGGAAACCCUGAUGCAGCGACGUCGCGUGAGCGAUGAAGUCUCUCGGUAUGUAAAGCUUUAUCAGUAGGGAAGAAAAUGACGGUACCUGACUAAGAAGCCCCGGCUAACUACGUGCCAGCAGCCGCGGUUAUGUGUAGGGGGCCAGCGUUAUCCGGAUUUACUGGGCGUAAAGGGGGCGUAGACGGGGAUGCAAGGUAGAUGGGAAAGCCCGGGGCCCAACCCCGGGACUGCCUUUGAAACUGUAUAGCUUGAGUGUGAGAGAGGCAGGCGGAAUUCGUGGUGUAGCGGUGAAAUGCGUAGAUAUUAGGAGGAACACCGGUGGCGAAGGCGGCCUGCUGGACGAUGACUGACGUUGAGGCUCGAAAGCGUGGGGAGCAAACAGGAUUAGAUACCCCAGUAGUC